GUCCAGCCGUAAAAACUUAACUCACAUCAACAAGCGCCAGGGNAAUUACGAGCACAAGCUUAAAACCCAAAGGAUUUGACGGUGUCCCAUCCCCCUAGAGGAGCCUGUUCUAUAAUCGAUGAUCCUCGAUAUACCUCACCAUUUUUGGCUUUUCAGCCUGUAUACCUCCGUCGCAAGCUUACCAUUUGAUUGCCCCAAAGUAAGUUCAACGGGCCCCCCCGCCAAUACGUCAGGUCAAGGUGCAGCCAAUAAAAUGGAAAGCAAUGGGCUACAAUUUCUAACAUAGAACAAACGAAAAACUACAUGAAACAUAGUCAUGAAGGCGGAUUUAGUAGUAAAAAAAGACUAGCGAGCUUCUUUUAACAAAAGGCCCCGGGACGUGUACAAACCGCCCGUCACCCUCUUCGAUAGCACCCAACUUAGCUACAUAACACCUGCUCAGCACCUUAGAAGAGGCAAGUCGUAACAUGGUAAGUGUACCGGAAGGUGCACUUGGUUAAA
This 501-nucleotide ribosomal RNA is filed under the name Mantidactylus grandidieri (Grandidier's Madagascar frog). Its description in RNAcentral is "partial 12S rRNA". It matches the Rfam family "Bacterial small subunit ribosomal RNA", at positions 794 to 1533 of the family's 1533-position model. The record is from RNAcentral. Lineage: Eukaryota; Metazoa; Chordata; Amphibia; Anura; Mantellidae.